CCUACGGGAGGCAGCAGUGGGGAAUAUUGCACAAUGGGGGAAACCCUGAUGCGCGACGCCGCGUGAAGGAAGUAGUAUUUCGGUAUGUAAACUUCUAUCAGCAGGGAAGAAAAUGACGGUACCUGACUAAGAAGCCCCGGCUAACUACGUGCCAGCAGCCGCGGUAAUACGUAGGGGGCAAGCGUUAUACGGAUUUACUGGGUGUAAAGGGAGCGUAGGCUGGUCAGAAAGUCAGAAGUGAAAGCCCGGGGGUCAAAUCCGGGACUGCUUUUGAAACUGUUGAACUAGAUUGCAGGAGAGGUAAGUGGAAUUCCUGGUGUAGCGGUGAAAUGCGUAGAUAUUAGGAAGAACACCAGUGGCGAAGGCGGCUUACUGGACUGUAAAUGACGCUGAGGCUCGAAAGCGUGGGGAGCGAACAGGAUUAGAUACCCGUGUAGUC
This 439-nucleotide ribosomal RNA is filed under the name uncultured bacterium. RNAcentral's name for it is "partial 16S ribosomal RNA". It matches the Rfam family "Bacterial small subunit ribosomal RNA", at positions 338 to 795 of the family's 1533-position model. The record is from RNAcentral.